CCGCCACAGCCACGGGGGGAGGAGGCGGCAGCGCGCCUGCGCCGCCGGGCGCUGCCGACGAGGGAGGGAGGGAUGGACCCGCCGCUUUCCCGGCUCCGGGGCCGGCCGUGAGUACGGAGCGGGCACGGCUGCGGCAGGUAGGGGCAGUGCCUUCCUUUGGAUCUGGCUGAUGCAUUGUGAAUAUUAACGGCAACAAGGAAAGUUCCCAGACAGAACAUGAAGCCCAAGACAAUGCAUCCUUCCAGUAACUCCUGUAAAAAUGCACAAGAGACCUUGAACAGAAACAUGGCCUGAAGAAAGUUAAUGAAGUUGUUAAUAGUCUGUGUCACAAAUGAGAAGACUGUGGAUGGUUCUGGUUUCUUCCUUCAGGCCUUGAUGAGUCAUGAAUAUGAUAGAAAGCUAAUUUUUCUAAUGGAGCAGGUUCUGUGAGUAAAAGAAGAGGAAAAAUCAAGGAAAAACCUAAAAUACAGACAUCUGGUGACAAGAGCUACUACUGGUGGUGACCAGUGUGUUGUAAGCUGGAAUUUUCAUGAAUCUUAAUGGAUGUUUUGACCUAAUUUACAGAGUCUUCCUUGUUAAUUAACUUUUUAGAAAGGUCAAACCGUUUUUUUCCACAAAAGGUCAUGUAUUUCAACUAAGAAAUCUUUUUUCAUCUACAGAACAAUACAGCAACACAAAAUUCAGGUGUUUUUCAUUCUGAACAUAUCAAUGGAUCAUGAGCAAUAUGCAUGGACUAUUUAACACCCCUUUGCCCUAUCCUCAUUAAAUAAUUCCUUUUUGUGUUUGUGUGUGUGAGUGAUCCCAGGGUUAUGCAUUUAUCCUGCAGCAGGCUCAUCCUCUGGAGCCUGGAGAUGAAGGAAAAUGACAUUCCAAAAACCCACAUGGACCUGAGAAGUGUGAGAAGAAUGCUCCUUGUAAAACAAGGGUGCCACAUUUAGAUAAAAACCUCAAUUUCAGUAUCAGAAAUGCUGUGAGCAUUUCAGUUCAUUGAAAUGUUCAUUGAAUUAUGCAGCUUUAUUGCUUCUGAAAGUGCUUGUACCUCUUGGUCAGGUCAAGUGGUACCUGAGGGCUCACAGGCCUUACAAUAAAGCACACUGUCUUGGUUUGGAAAGCCAGGUGUGUGCUAAGGAAGGCAGGGCCCUCCCCUGAAUUGGAGAAAAUCAACCCCUCACCCCCCAAAUUGCUAUAAAUCAUAAAUUAAGGGACUCUCAGGCAGCAAAAGUUAUGGGAGUAGGAAUAACAGUUCUUUAAUAGGGAAGAAAGAAAAAGGAUAAAAUAAACAAUGCAGUACACCAGAACAACACUGACAGAGUCAGAACCCAACCUGACACCCUGUGGGUCAGGCUGUUGGUGGCAGUGCCAUUGGAAUUGGGGCUCAGCCCUCCUGCAGUGUCAGGGGUGGUUCUGCUGGAGCAGGAUCCUGUAGAGAAGGAUGGAUUCUUCCUCUGAAGAUCCAGUGGAAGGAGAGGCAGCUGCUGUUCCUCUGGGGAAUCCAGUGGAAAAGCCAUGCUGGUGUUCCAGAAUCUCCAGAUUAUAUCCAGGUAGGAAUGCUUGGCUCCUCCCUCUGGGCUCACAUCUCCCAGUGGGAUGCUGCAGUUCUUAUCAGCCAUGCAGUGACAUUCAAUAGCUGUUAUCAGCUGAUGUCCCCUCCUGAGGGAGGUGUGAUUGUGGUCACUCAGAGAGAGAUAAGGCAAACUGCCCACUUGACAAAAGACAAUCUGCCAUACAGAUGGUAAUGGAAAACAUCUUGCAUUGCAAUCUGGAGCACACACCUAAAACAGGAAUGGCACUGCUGGAAUAUUGAGAUUUUCAAAUCAUUCUUCCUAUUUAAGUAACAGCUGAAUGAACUGCCCCUUAAAAAAGCCCCAUAAAACCUAAAGAAAGAAAUCAGAAAAGGCUUUUUUAUUGAGUUGGUGAACCUGCUCAGAAAUACUGAAGGGACACAGAAAACCAGUGUGGUCACAGGACUUGCACUAAUGUGGAGAGAAAAAACUGCCAAUAUCCUAAUUGGAGAAUUUCUCUGAUGGGAAACUAGGAUCCAUUCCACUUCAUGAUUUCUUCAUGCAAACCACAUAAAAUAUUUUAUAAAACCUGAGUGAUUUCCAUAACAGAAUUUUGGCAAUUUAAAGCAAAACAUUUUGCUGUGACAGUUCCUACAAAUCUUUUAGCUAUGUUUUGUAUUAUAAAUAUGUCAAAAUGAAGCCAUUUCUGUCCAAACAAAAAUUUUCCAGGCUUUUAAAAAAUAUUUUUUAUUUGCCACAGUUAAGAUGAAGACUGAUUUCAAAUGCUGUAACUUAGAUCUGCAUAACCAUAAACCCACAAGGACAUAGCUUUAGUCUUAUAAAUAAGUAAUGUCAUUAGAUACAGUAUUCUUAUUUUAAUUGACUCUGUUUGCUACUCUGUAUAACAGUGAUUGAAAAAUAAAAGUCAUUUAACAUUGGUGAAACCUUUUCUAGUGGUUUCUGAACUGGAAGUCCACAAGCACCAGCCAUUGGCAAAAA
Molecule: long non-coding RNA, 2501 nt
Organism: Zonotrichia leucophrys gambelii
Lineage: Eukaryota; Metazoa; Chordata; Aves; Passeriformes; Passerellidae
Exons: 3
Source: RefSeq, a predicted model, not a curated record